UUGAGCAGAUCUGUCGUCUCUUCUGUCGUGUGUGGUGGUUUUUCGUGCCAGUCGGCAGCCAUUCUUGUUAACUCUCACAUUUGGUGGCUUGGGAGAAGAAAGUACGAAUAAACAACGAAGGAAAACCGAAGAGAUCCAAGCACUAAGGCGUGCACGAACUUAAUAGAAAACAGGUGGUGGUGCAUGGAGCGCCAAAUCCCAAGCACGCACUCGACCAGACGCAACUUCGUCCUCCACCUGUCGGAAUACAUCUGGCGCACCUGUGUCGUUGGAGACAAUCGAUCGUUCGAGUAUCUGAUACAUUCGAUUGCCCGACUAUACCCUUUGUAGCUCUCCAAGCAAGUUGAUGAAAACCAGGGGGAUAAAUAGUGAGUGCCCACUGUCAAGAGUUGGAUGCAAUAAAAACCAAGAGCCGUCUGCAUUGUGGGUGACCUUUCCUUGGAUACAGUCGAUCACUGAAUUGUCUAGAUUGCCGUCAACCCAGAAUAAAAACUUGUAGGACA
This is a long non-coding RNA of Haliotis rubra (blacklip abalone), 503 nucleotides long. RefSeq lists it as uncharacterized. The record is from RefSeq and is a predicted model, not a curated record. The transcript is spliced from 4 exons. NCBI's taxonomy places the organism in Eukaryota, Metazoa, Mollusca, Gastropoda, Lepetellida, Haliotidae.